This is a long non-coding RNA of Chinchilla lanigera (long-tailed chinchilla), 1215 nucleotides long. RefSeq lists it as uncharacterized. The record is from RefSeq and is a predicted model, not a curated record. Lineage: Eukaryota; Metazoa; Chordata; Mammalia; Rodentia; Chinchillidae. The transcript is spliced from 5 exons.
CCGCCCGCCGCCGCGCACUUUCGGUUUUCCUUCCCCGCUGACCCUGGGCGGAGGGAGGAGCCGGGCGGGCGGCCCGGAGGAGGAGGAAGUGGAGGAGGCGGAGGCAGCGGGGACUUGGGGCGCGAGGGGCCGGGCCCUGGCACGGCCGGCGUCCCCGCCCUCGGGGAGAGCGAAAGAGUUAGCGUCGCUUCAGCUCCCCCGCGCGGCGGGGCCGGCGGGCUCGGGCGGGCUCGGCUGAAGGGAGGGGACUGCGGGGGGCGGGUGAGCAGCGCCCAAGGCCGUCGCAGGCCUCAGCCACCCCCAGAGGCGGGGGCACGCGGUGAGCAGCUUGGUGCGUGUGAAGCGCGACAUGGCGGCGAGGCCGAGGAGACCGAGCGGCCCAGAGAGUACGGGGAGGAGGGCGGGGCCAGGCUCGGCUCCGACGACCAUUGGAGCGCCUCGUGCUGGGCGGGCCAGAAACUACAUUUCCCAGGGAUCAUAGCGGGCAAAGCCCGGAAAGGGAGGGCCUCAGGCCCAGUGCGCACGCUCUUCAGUAGCCUGUGCCUAUAUAAGGGAGGUUCAGGCUCUUCGUCGUUCUUUCUGUCUGCGGCGCUUUCCGAGUGUGGUGUCCUUGUUGUUGUUUCAAGGGUCACGCUUCCUGCCUCGUGAACCACGUUUUGUGUACGGUUAUCGUGGUUAGGGAGUACAGAAUGGAUGUGGGAGAACAGAGUCACCUCUGGGCCUGCGAUAGAACCCUAUUUAGACAUCGCCAACCUUGGAUCUCCUGAUCUACAGGGUUUGCUGAUGGCAUAAACCAGCCUUUGAAUGGAGCAGGAUGGUUUCUGAGCAUGGGAAAGGAUUGGUCCCGAGCCCUUGAGGCUGCAAUUUGUUGUCAACCUGAGCAUUGGUUUGUUUAGUCCUAUAACAGAAGUUUCUCAGCUACGGAGUUUGGGAGUACAAGGUCUUCCGAAAAAUCAGUCCGGUGUUCCUGAGGCAGGCCCACAAGCUUUUUAUUUAACUUUUGGUACCAAGAAUUGAACUCAGGACCUCACCCUUACCUGCCAGGAAGGUGCCAUGCCACUGAGCUAUACCCCCGGCACCCCACAAGGCUUUUGUGUACUUGACCUGGCUCUCCAGAGUACUGUGCCUGUUUCUUUGACGACUCAAGAUUUUAAUUCCUAACUUGGUAACAGCUUUCCUACCUGGGAAAAGAAAAUAAAAUUCUUGAAAUCAGAA